UGUGACAAGACGUUCCCGUAC
Molecule: non-coding RNA, 21 nt
Filed under: Caenorhabditis elegans
Lineage: Eukaryota; Metazoa; Nematoda; Chromadorea; Rhabditida; Rhabditidae
Source: RNAcentral